This 2880-nucleotide ribosomal RNA is filed under the name Armatimonadota bacterium. RNAcentral describes it as "Armatimonadetes bacterium 23S ribosomal RNA". It matches the Rfam family "Bacterial large subunit ribosomal RNA". The record is from RNAcentral. Lineage: Bacteria; Bacillati; Armatimonadota.
GAAAAGCUACGAAGGGUGUGCGACGGAUGCCUAGGGACAGGUGGCCGAUGAAGGACGCGCAAGCGGCGAAACGCCCCGGGGAGCUGCACAGAAGUGUUGAUCCGGGGGUGUCCGAAUGGGGAAACCCGGCGAGGGUAAUGCCUCGUCAGUCAUAGCUGAAUACAUAGGUUAUGGCAGGGAACCGGCCGAACUGAAACAUCUAAGUAAGCCGAGGAAAAGAACUCGAAGAGAUUCCGUAAGUAGCGGCGAGCGAAAGCGGAAGAGCCUAAACCCUAAUGCUUGCAUUAGGGGGUUGUGGGACCGCGUAAAGCGACAAUAGGUUAGUGGAACAUUUCUGGAAAGUUGGACCACAGCGGGUGACAGUCCCGUACACGAAAGCCGAAGAUAGCUGGCGGUAUCCCGAGUAGCGCGGAGCACGAGGAAUUCUGCGUGAAUCUAUCCGGACCACCGGAUAAGGCUAAAUACCGCCUGUCACCGAUAGUGCAACCAGUACCGUGAGGGAAAGGUGAAAAGUACCCAGGGAAUGGGGGUGAAAUAGUUCCUGAAAUCGCAUCACCCACAAACAGUCAGAGCGCUAUGCUUUGAGCAAUCGAAGAAUGCGUGAUGGCGUGCCUUUUGCAGAAUGAGCCUGCGAGUUGUUUGUGCCGGCAAGGUUAAGCGGUUGAGCCGCGGAGCCGGAGGGAAACCGAGUCUGAAUAGGGCGUCUAGUCGGUACAAGCAGACCCGAAACUGCGUGAUCUAGCCAUGGCCAGGCUGAAGUGGGGGUAACACCUCAUGGAGGGCCGAACUCAUUGACGUUGAAAAGUCUCGGGAUGAGCUGUGGUUAGUCCGGUGAAAUGCCAAUCGAACGCAGAGAUAGCUGGUUCUCCCCGAAAUGCAUUUGGGUGCAGCGUUACGUGUUUUCCUAUGGAGGUAGAGCACUGAAUGGGCUAGGGGCCCUACCAGGUUACCGAACCCAAUCAAACUCCGAAUGCCAUAGGAUUAGCGUAGCAGUGAGACGGCGAGUGCUAAGAUCCGUCGUCAAAAGGAAAACAAUCCAGAUCAGCAGCUAAGGGCCCUAAAUCACCGCUAAGUGUAAAACGAUGUGAGAUCGCGUAAACAGCCAGGAGGUUGGCUUGGAGGCAGCCACCCUUUAAAAAGUGCGUAACAGCUUACUGGCCGAAUGUGGUCUUGCGCGGACAAUGUAAGGGGGCUCAAGCGGUGUCCCGAAGCUCUGGGUUUCCGAGAAAUCGGAAGCGGUAGGGGAGCGUCGUAUUUGCAGUGAAGAUAGAGCGUGAGCACUGUUGGAGCGAAUACGAGUGAGAAUGCAGGCAUGAGUAGCGAGAACACAGGUGAGAAUCCUGUGCGCCGAAAACCUAAGGUUUCCCCCGCCAUGUUCGUCAGCGGGGGGUUAGGCGAGUCCUAAGGUGAGGCCGGAAGGCGUAGCCGAUGGAUAGACGGUUGAUAUUCCGUCCCCGGACGAAGGUUGUCAAGAGGGACGCUUCCAAACGUUCCAUCCCACACUGUUGGUAGUUGUGGGCCCGAAGCGGGCGUGGCACGGUGAAAACGUGCAUGAUCGCUCGCCAGGGGCAAGUGGAUUCUUCGGAUGAAGCGAACUGGAAUAGAUGGGGGCCGAGAAAAGCUCUGACGACAUUAACCUUCGCCCGCUCGUACCGCAAUCCGACACAGGUAGGUGAGUCGAGGAGACUUAGGCGUUCGAGAGAACUCCGGUCAAGGAACUAGGCAAACGAGCCCCGUAACUUCGGAAUAAGGGGCGCCUCGGUGCUGAGCCGAGGCCGCAGCGAAGCAGCCCAGGCGACUGUUUACCAAAAACACAGGUCUCUGCUAAGGCGAAAGCCGAUGUAUAGGGGCUGACGCCUGCCCAAUGCCAGUAGGUUAAUGGGAGGUGUUCGUUACGAUUCGUCGUAGCAAAGCACCGAACUGAAGCCCUGGUGAAUGGCGGCCGUAACUCUAACGGUCCUAAGGUAGCGAAAUUCCUUGUCGGCUAAAUACCGACCCGCAUGAAAGGCGUAACGACUUGGGCACUGUCCGCGAAGAUGCGGGUUCCCCGCAGUAGGACGGAAAGACCCCGUGGAGCUUUACUACACCUUACGAUUGUGUUUUGGAUUGUAAUGUAGAGCGUAGGUGGGAGCUUCGGCACCAAUGGAACACCACCCUUUGCACUCUGGAACACUAACCUGUGCCCUCAUCGGGUAUGGAGACAGUCGUUGGCGGGUAGUUUGACUGGGGCGGUCGCCUCCAAAAAGGUAACGGAGGCGUUCAAAGGUACUCUCAGGCUGGUCGGAAAUCAGCCAUCGAGCGUAAUGGUAUAGAGAGUGCUUGACUGUGAGACAUACAGGUCGAGCAGGGACGAAAGUCGGACAUAGUGACCCUCUGGUGGUGCGUGGGCACGCCAGGGUUCAUCGGAUAAAAGCUACCCCGGGGAUAACAGGCUGAUCUUGCCCGAGCGCUCACAGCGACGGCAUGGUUUGGCACCUCGAUGUCGGCUCGUCACAUCCUGGGGCUGAAUUCGGUCCCAAGGGUUCCGGGGUUCACGGAUUAAAGUGGCACGCGAGCUGGGUUCAGAACGGCGUGAGCCAGUUCGGUCCCUAUCCACUGCGGGCGCAAGAGAUUUGAGGGGAGUCGCUCCUAGUACGAGAGGACCGGAGUGAACUGACCUCUGGUGUACCUGUUGUGCCGCCAGGCGCAGACGCAGGGUAGCCAAGUCGGGCAGUGAUAAGCGCUGAAAGCAUCUAAGCGCCAAGCACACCCCAAGAUUAGAUCUCUCACACGGUCAACGUGGUAAGAGCCCCAGAAGACUACUGGGUCGAUAGGCCGCAAUUGUAAGCACGGUAACGUGUUGAGAUAAGCGGUACUAAUAGCUCGAGGGCUUUUUUGAAC